GAGUAUAGAGCAGUUUGGUAGCUCAUAAGGCUCAUAACCUUGGGGUU
This 47-nucleotide transfer RNA is filed under the name Aegilops speltoides. RNAcentral's name for it is "partial tRNA-Met". The record is from RNAcentral. Lineage: Eukaryota; Viridiplantae; Streptophyta; Magnoliopsida; Poales; Poaceae.